CCCUGACAGUCGCAUAGGGCGACUGACUAACCCAAGACAGGAGAUCAACAUG
Molecule: non-coding RNA, 52 nt
Filed under: unclassified sequences
Description: Mu-gpT-DE RNA
Rfam family: Mu-gpT-DE RNA
Source: Rfam by way of RNAcentral